UCUUGAAUAUCAAAGGUGAGCCAGUACAGGAUGGACCCGCGUCUGAUUAGCUAGUUGGUAAGGUAACGGCUUACCAAGGCGACGAUCAGUAGCCGACCUGGGAGGGUGAUCGGCCACAUUGGAACUGCGACACGGUCCAAACUCCUACGGGAGGCAGCAGUGGGGAAUAUUGCACAAUGGGCGAAAGCCUGAUGCAGCAACGCCGCGUGAGUGAUGAAGGCCUUCGGG
Molecule: ribosomal RNA, 228 nt
Filed under: Clostridioides difficile
Lineage: Bacteria; Bacillati; Bacillota; Clostridia; Peptostreptococcales; Peptostreptococcaceae
Description: partial 16S ribosomal RNA
Rfam family: Bacterial small subunit ribosomal RNA
Source: RNAcentral